AGUGAACGCUGGCGGUAGGCCUAACACAUGCAAGUCGAACGGCAGCACAGUAAGAGCUUGCUCUUACGGGUGGCGAGUGGCGGACGGGUGAGGAAUAAAUCGGAAUCUACUUUUUCGUGGGGGAUAACGUAGGGAAACUUACGCUAAUACCGCAUACGACCUACGGGUGAAAGCAGGGGAUCUUCGGAACUUGCGCGAUUGAAUGAGCCGAUGUCGGAUUAGCUAGUUGGCGGGGUAAAGGCCCACCAAGGCGACGAUCCGUAGCUGGUCUGAGAGGAUGAUCAGCCACACUGGAACUGAGACACGGUCCAGACUCCUACGGGAGGCAGCAGUGGGGAAUAUUGGACAAUGGGCGCAAGCCUGAUCCAGCCAUACCGCGUGGGUGAAGAAGGCCUUCGGGUUGUAAAGCCCUUUUGUUGGGAAAGAAAAGCAGCAGGUUAAUACCCCGCUGUUCUGACGGUACCCAAAGAAUAAGCACCGGCUAACUUCGUG
RNAcentral lists this ribosomal RNA (492 nucleotides) under uncultured bacterium. Its description in RNAcentral is "partial 16S ribosomal RNA". It matches the Rfam family "Bacterial small subunit ribosomal RNA", at positions 29 to 507 of the family's 1533-position model. The record is from RNAcentral.